AGAGUUUGAUCCUGGCUCAGGACGAACGCUGGCGGCGUGCUUAACACAUGCAAGUCGAACGGAAAGGCCUGCUUGCAGGGUGCUCGAGUGGCGAACGGGUGAGUAACACGUGGGUGAUCUGCCCCCUUACUUUGGGAUAAGCCUGGGAAACUGGGUCUAAUACUGGAUAGGACCAUGCUGUAGGUGGUGUGGUGGAAAGAUUAGUUUCGGUAAGGGAUGAGCUCGCGGCCUAUCAGCUUGUUGGUGGGGUAAUGGCCUACCAAGGCGUCGACGGGUAGCCGGCCUGAGAGGGUGGACGGCCACAUUGGGACUGAGAUACGGCCCAGACUCCUACGGGAGGCAGCAGUGGGGAAUAUUGCACAAUGGGCGCAAGCCUGAUGCAGCGACGCCGCGUGGGGGAUGACGGCCUUCGGGUUGUAAACUCCUUUCAGCCAUGACGAAGCCUUCGGGUGACGGUAGUGGUAGAAGAAGCACCGGCUAACUACGUGCCAGCAGCCGCGGUAAUACGUAGGGUGCGAGCGUUGUCCGGAAUUACUGGGCGUAAAGAGCUCGUAGGUGGUCUGUCGCGUCAUUUGUGAAAGCCCGGGGCUUAACUCCGGGUUGGCAGGUGAUACGGGCAUGACUGGAGUACUGUAGGGGAGACUGGAAUUCCUGGUGUAGCGGUGAAAUGCGCAGAUAUCAGGAGGAACACCGGUGGCGAAGGCGGGUCUCUGGGCAGUAACUGACGCUGAGGAGCGAAAGCAUGGGUAGCGAACAGGAUUAGAUACCCUGGUAGUCCAUGCCGUAAACGGUGGGCGCUAGGUGUGGGUUUCCUUCCACGGGAUCCGUGCCGUAGCUAACGCAUUAAGCGCCCCGCCUGGGGAGUACGGCCGCAAGGCUAAAACUCAAAGGAAUUGACGG
Molecule: ribosomal RNA, 900 nt
Filed under: uncultured bacterium
Lineage: Bacteria
Description: bacterial SSU rRNA
Rfam family: Bacterial small subunit ribosomal RNA
Source: RNAcentral